Molecule: ribosomal RNA, 152 nt
Filed under: uncultured Alphaproteobacteria bacterium
Lineage: Bacteria; Pseudomonadati; Pseudomonadota; Alphaproteobacteria
Description: partial 16S ribosomal RNA
Source: RNAcentral
ACCCCUUAUAACCUGUUACCCGCUUUCGGACUAGGUCGUUACGGCGCACUCACUACUUCCGGAAUCCCAACAUUUCGAGAAAAUGGUCCCUACUAUUACUGUCAUGGACCUCUUAUUCGAGGCCGAUUGAGGCACGGUCGUCGGCGCCAUUA